This 468-nucleotide ribosomal RNA is filed under the name uncultured bacterium. RNAcentral describes it as "partial 16S ribosomal RNA". It matches the Rfam family "Bacterial small subunit ribosomal RNA", at positions 28 to 507 of the family's 1533-position model. The record is from RNAcentral.
GACGAACGCUGGCGGCGUGCUUAACACAUGCAAGUCGAACGGAAAGGCCCUGCUUUUGUGGGGUGCUCGAGUGGCGAACGGGUGAGUAACACGUGAGUAACCUGCCCUUGACUUUGGGAUAACUUCAGGAAACUGGGGCUAAUACCGGAUAGGAGCUCCUGCUGCAUGGUGGGGGUUGGAAAGUUUCGGCGGUUGGGGAUGGACUCGCGGCUUAUCAGCUUGUUGGUGGGGUAGUGGCUUACCAAGGCUUUGACGGGUAGCCGGCCUGAGAGGGUGACCGGCCACAUUGGGACUGAGAUACGGCGCAGACUCCUACGGGAGGCAGCAGGGGGGAAUAUUGCACAAUGGGCGGAAGCCUGAUGCAGCAACGCCGCGUGCGGGAUGACGGCCUGCGGGUUAUAAACCGCUUUCGCCUGUGACGAAGCGUGAGUGACGGUAAUGGGUAAAGAAGCACCGGCUAACUACGUG